RNAcentral lists this ribosomal RNA (305 nucleotides) under uncultured bacterium. RNAcentral describes it as "partial 16S ribosomal RNA". It matches the Rfam family "Bacterial small subunit ribosomal RNA", at positions 505 to 807 of the family's 1533-position model. The record is from RNAcentral.
ACAGCAGUCGCCACGGUAAUACGAAGGGUGCAAGCGUUACUCGGAAUUACUGGGCGUAAAGCGUGCGUAGGUGGUGGUUUAAGUCCGUUGUGAAAGCCCUGGGCUCAACCUGGGAAUUGCAGUGGAUACUGGGUCACUAGAGUGUGGUAGAGGAUAGUGGAAUUUCCGGUGUAGCAGUGAAAUGCGUAGAGAUCGGAAGGAACAUCUGUGGCGAAGGCGACUAUCUGGGCCAACAUUGACACUGAGGCACGAAAGCGUGGGGAGCAAACAGGAUUAGAUACCCCUGUAGUCCCUGUCUCUUAUAC